AAGACCUUGCGCUUUUGGAGCGGCCGAUGCCUGAUUAGCUUGUUGGUAAGGUAAAGGCUUACCAAGGCUUCGAUCAGUAGCUGGUCUGAGAGGACGGCCAGCCACACUGGGACUGAGACACGGCCCAGACUCUUACGGGAGGCAGCAGUGGGGAAUUUUGGACAAUGGGGGAAACCCUGAUCCAGCCAUGCCGCGUGAGUGAAGAAGGCCUUCGGGUUGUAAAGCUCUUUCAGCCGGAACGAAACGGUUACGGAUAAUACCCGUGACUACUGACGGUACCGGAAGAAGAAGCACCGGCUAACUACGUGCCAGCAGCCGCGGUAAUACGUAGGGUGCGAGCGUUAAUCGGAAUUACUGGGCGUAAAGCGUGCGCAGGUGGUUUUGUAAGUCAGAUGUGAAAGCCCCGGGCUCAACCUGGGAACU
RNAcentral lists this ribosomal RNA (423 nucleotides) under uncultured bacterium. RNAcentral describes it as "bacterial SSU rRNA". It matches the Rfam family "Bacterial small subunit ribosomal RNA", at positions 207 to 622 of the family's 1533-position model. The record is from RNAcentral.